UACGUAGGGUGCGAGCGUUAAUCGGAUUUACUGGGCGUAAAGCGUGCGAAGGCGGCCCGUUAAGACAGGUGUGAAAUCCCUGGGCUCAACCUAGGAAUUGCGCUUGUGACUGGCGGGCUCGAGUACGGUAGAGGGGGGUGGAAUUCCUGGUGUAGCAGUGAAAUGCGUAGAGAUCAGGAGGAACACCGAUGGCGAAGGCAGCCCCCUGGGCCUGUACUGACGCUCAUGCACGAAAGCGUGGGGAGCAAACAGG
This 253-nucleotide ribosomal RNA is filed under the name uncultured microorganism. RNAcentral's name for it is "partial 16S ribosomal RNA". It matches the Rfam family "Bacterial small subunit ribosomal RNA", at positions 524 to 776 of the family's 1533-position model. The record is from RNAcentral.